GACUCUGUAGUGGAAAUGCUAAGUCACUGCUUGAAGCAGUGAUUGAACACCUGGUGGGAAGGCAGGGCCAACCCAGGGGAGCUCAGCUGCAUGAAAUGUUCCUGAGUGACCAGAUGAGGUGGAUCCAGGAUGCACCCCUUCCCAGACCUCAUUUAAGGGUUGGCAGUGGAGGUAGGGGUAUUUUGCUGGAGAUUCCUGUGUACCUGAGGUCUUCUGAAGACUGACUACUCCUGAUAGGCACCAACCUGGGGCUCUGUUCUUGCACCUUCCCCUGAGCCUGCUGGGCAGCACACGCUAUCCAGUCACAAGCUCUGCAGUGAUCCCCCAUGCUGACUUCAGUGCAGAAAGCAGUAGAGGCUCUCCUAGGAUGGUUAUUUUAACAAGAUGUUUUAAUAUGAGAGGCAGUGAUUAUUAGAAAGUGUAAUGAUUUGCAGGCUUGUGGCGCAAAGGUAUUAUAAUACUGCCAUGAAGAGCACUUUAUCUGAGCCUCUGGAUUGCAGCUUUCUCCCACGUUAAUACUUCUGCAGUUUAACCCUCAUUACUGAUAUUUCUCUCUUCAUCCAUCAUGCUGGAUACAGUCCCAUGCCAUCCUUCAGUUCUGUGGUGUACAACAAUGAAGGAUGCAGAGUUACAAAAUCAUCCAAGAAAUGAUGCAUAUGCACGGAAGAGAACUGUUCAGACUUCUCAUUCACGUUUCUUAAAACAAAGAGAUGUUUUUGAAUAGAAAAACUUCCUCCUCCGAUGCAGAAAGACUCAUUGCCCAGCUAAACCAAGUACCACAGCUAAGGCUUUCUAACAGAGUGUUUGUGAAUACUUUUCCACAUCUUUAGGGCUAUUCUCCUCCUAUUCAUUUGCACAUCUUCUGCUCUUCAGCUGUAAAUGGUUCUAAGAUGUUCAUAUGAUAUAAACUUAUAAACCAGAUGAUAGCUGUCAUUUACCCUUCAGGGAGGCAAACUCAUAUUUUUCAUUGCUCUAUUGAUAUUUCUGACCUUUAGUUUUCCAAUACUCAUUCUUUUUCACAUGAGAUCUUGGUAGCUGACAGUAUUUGAAAAUACUGAUGUUACCAAUCGGCAGAAGAUGUUAGCCCCAGUCAACACAAUAAGAUGAAGAGAAACAGGUGUGUGAGGUUGGUUUAGGCAGAUAAUAUUUUAAUCACAGCUGAGAAAGGAAGAGCUCAACAUCAGGUUUACACAGACCCAGGCAGUUCCUCAAGCUGAGGUAAACAAACACAGGUCUGCUGAGGUCAGGAUGGUUUACACCCACCAGUAUUCUUAGUGAAUGAGGAGAACAUGCAAAAUCCCUUAUUGUAUCAUUUUCUGCAGUUCUAACUGCAAUCAAGAAUAAUUUGAGGUCUGAGAAGGGACCAGCCAGGUUAUUGGAGGCUAUUGGUAUCUUUCAUGGAACAACUGCCUUUAAGUCAGAAAAGAGUGCAAGUAAAUGGUGAGGAGAGCAUCCAACUUUCAGAAUGGACGGGGGAAAAGAGAAUCCAAAUGUAUACCAUAAGCAAUGAGAGGAAAUGCGGUGAACCUCCAACAGACUGUCAAAAUCAUCCAUUAAUAUGAAACCAAAGGAACUUUUUCAUGGAGUCUGGGGUCAGAAUUUAGACCCUGUGUUUCAGAAGCAAUCUUAGCACAACCAAGUUAAACUGGGGAAAAAAGAAAAAGGGAAGCUCACAACAAGCUCAAGAAGUCUUGGCAACUCAGGUAUGAGAACUGGAGCAGUCAGAGGUUCUUUCUGUUCUGUGAAAGCUUAAAAAAAAAAAAAGACACAAAAUCAAACCUUGAGAUUGAGACAAAACGGGAAUUUGUUUUCUUUCCAAAACUAAAGGCAAAGCAUUUCAUUUUUUAUGGAAAGUGAGUGCUAUGGAUUUCACCAAGUUUGCAUACCAUUUAAGUCAAUCUCCCAGCAGUGCAGAGGUCAUCUCAACAGUAAGGAAAGCAUACCCUAGGCAAAAGCAGCCAAAUGGAUGACUUAAACCCACCUGGCCCAGUGUUUAUCUAUGUCAAUGACUCCAAUUUCGUCCUGGUGACCCAAUACCCACACUGUCAGUUAGGACUUCUCAACAUCCCGUCUACUUUCUAGAAACACUGCCGAUGGUGACCAUCUGUCAUUGGGAGAACACGAGAAGGGGGAUUAUUAACAGGCUGGCAGAGUAUACUGGAAGACUGGCAAUAUAUUUUACCAAGGACAGAUGUAAACACAAUGGGGAUAUUGUUUUGAAAUUAAGAGAAGAGCAGGAAAUUUCACAGUGCUCUCCUGAGGUUUUUCCUCCUUGCCACGCCAGUGGGAAAAAAAAAGCUGGCAAGUGAGAAGACUAAUUACAGGGAAUAAAUCUACAGUUUUGUGGAAUCUCCCCUGAGGUCUGCUCCUCCUCCAUUACUGCUCGAUUGCCACUGUUACUGAGCGUGAGAUGUAUGUAUGUGCUGCUGCUAAAUGCCACAGAUGCAUCUCUAUUAUCCUUGGAAGCAUAAACUAUUUUUUCUAACAAUCAAUUGCCCAAUUCAGAAACAAAUAUAACGAGCUCAUUCUGUCUUACUCGCUGGAAUCCAGCACCAAUUCUACUGGGACUAAGACAAAAAGGAAAACGUGCAGAAAUAGCUUAGAACUAAGUGGGGUACUUAAUUACUUCAGUAAUUUUGCCUCCUGAAUUAAAGAAAAAAAUGUUUCACAGAUGUGAUAUUAGGGGUUUUUUUUUCAAGUGUCUUAAUUCUAAUUAGAGAGAUUUCUGUUUAAGACUUCAAUGGCCAAGAAAGAUCUCCAAAGCCAUGUUCAUUGCAUAAGGGGAAAAUGUGCAGAAAACUGCCAAAAAUGUCAUCCAGAGAGGGAACCUCUCCCAAGAUUUUGUCUGCACUAAUGAGAGUUUGCUGGCACUUUUGAAUGCAGAUACAUCUUCUGCUGGCAAACCCUUUCCAUUCCCUAUCUGCAGUAAGAUGUACUCUUCAGCUGGUGUGAAUCCAGGUAUCGCUGCUCCUCAUAGCAUCAAAAUGUCAUUAAAAAUCAUGACCUGAGCAGCACUGUCAGCACCCAGCCCUGCACCCCACAACCCCAGGGAGUUACACAGAAAGUGGUGGUGACCACCACAUCUAGAAGGAGUAAAACCCAUGUGAGCCAAGAUGGAAAAGGGAAUGAAGGCUCAUUAGCUGGCCAAACCUGCAAUUAGUAGGGUGGUGCGAGGCAAGAGGAGUGAUUCAUGAAGUGGUGGCUGGCUGGCAUGGCUCCUGUCCCUCUGUGCUUCUUUUCAUCGCAACUCUUGAGAACUGGCCCAAAGCUAACUGAAGAAAUGGAAGUAUUUUAUCGGCUUGAACAGACUUCGGAUCAGGUGUGAUCACAGUUAGUUCUUCAUGACAUUUUAUCCUCUGGUACAACCUUAAAAGGCCUUACAUGACGACUACGCUCUGGAGAUUUUUCAAGUCUACUCCCAUCACUUCCAACAGAGACUUUUUCUUCCUUCUUGCUGAGACAAUCCUGAGCCCCUUGUGUUAAUAAUUAAAUAACAGCCGUGCAUUGGGAAAGGGAAGUGACAAAUCUGCCAAACUCAUUCUGAGAUAUUUUGACAAUCUACAGUCUGAAAAGAUUGUAAAUGAGGGACUGGUCUCUCAUUACACUCCCACUCUCUCAUGCUUAUCUUUAAACAUAACACGGAUUACGCACCAUCCAUCCCAGAGACACAUUUUGAUGUCAUAACAAUAGUUACGAUGCCAGAGUACACAAUACUUAACUGCAGACACCUUGGCACCAUGAUUAACAACCACUCCUGCCACUGUACCUUCCAGACUCUCAUCCAAGGAAAAUUUGUCCCUAUUAAUCACAUCCAAGCAUUCAUGGCUGAAAUGCUCAUUUGUAUUGAGAAGACUUCUAAUGUUCAUCCCGAAUGCUGUGUGUGGCUGCUAACCUUUCAGUGGAGCCCACUGGGAGUCUCUGCUCAUUUGUAUACAAAGUGCGUUAGACAAAAGGGCAACUAAACAUAAUUUACCUGGAAGUGAGGUUAAAAGUGGUUUGCCAGCUUGAUGGUGUCUGGCUAGAGAAACAAGACAUUAAUUAACAUCUACCCAUUGAUUAAUAUUGACUAGCUCUUUUUCCUUCUGCAAGAUUUAAGUAGCCUUUUUUUUGUUUUUUAGUUACAUUUUCCCCUGACCUUGAAUAUUUUGCCAAAAUGUUUUGGUCAAACAUGAGCUUGCUUUUGGUCUGACUGCAUGGAUAAGGGGUAGAUUGCAAAUCUCGGUUAUGGACUGCAAACGCUGCUACUCCAAGAUGCGCUACUGUGAGAUGCCCCAGGACCCCAGUCCAGCACCACUGAAAGCAAUGAGCCUUGGCACUGCCUACAAAGAGCUUGUGUCCAAAUCCAUGCAACCAAAAUCAAAUAAAUAUCCAAAUCCCUGGUUUCUUCCAAAGACAUCAUGUAUUGUGUGGUGGCAGCCUCCUGGUCCCACUGCAGCUGUGACAUAGGAUCUUCACAUGUACUGACUGCCCCAAACACUGCACUGAUCCCACUGGAGGAAGCUGGGGUAUUUUACCCAAAUAAGAGUGAAGCCCUGGCCCCUGCUUUGCUACCAUCUCUGUCUGUGUGUGACACAAGUGGCAGGGUCCCUGCUACCAGGAUGUUCAUGGAGGGAACUUGACAUCUGCUCAUCCUCUGAAAGCACCGCUCGCGGUUAGAAAAGGGUUUGUUAACACCAUCUCCAGACUUUCCUCCAGAAACUUCCUUCAGGCUGGGCAAAGCCCUUGGAAGUGAUUUCUAUCACAAACAGAGCAGGUGGGGAAAAAAAACUCCAGGAAAUAAAGGCAAAGCCUUGAAGCUGCAUCUGCCUUGGCAGGCUUUGAAACGCAGCUCAUCUCUUGGAUAUUUUUCAGUGGUUCUGUUAACUGCUGGUUAUUAAGAAGUGACCACUUUUUUUAACUUAAAAGAUCUCUUUCCAAAUUGCUUUAAUUUUCUCAGCCGCUAAAAAUGUGUUUUUUCUUCUUGAAUUGCAUUUUCCAUAAACAAAAGGUCCUCUGCAACUUUGAAAUCUACUUUGAUUGAAAGUUUUAAUAAAAAACAUUUGAG
Long non-coding RNA from Gallus gallus (chicken), 5044 nucleotides. The record is from Ensembl. NCBI's taxonomy places the organism in Eukaryota, Metazoa, Chordata, Aves, Galliformes, Phasianidae.